GUGGCUUUAGAGUAUCAGAUAAUUUUAAAAAAUGAUAUAAAAUAAUGAAGUGAUUCAUACUCCAGAGAUUCAUCAUCUCCUUUUCUGGGAUAGGGCAUCUGAUGUACAAAUAAGGGCAAAUGACCAGGGGGCACAGAUUGUCAGACCUGAAACAGCAGUGUUCACUGGAGAAGUUUCAGACUGUAGGGGUAGCAGGCACGUGGGCACCUUUGGCCUGUUUAUUCUAGGCCAGCACAGAGUUCUAGCAAAGCCAGACUUCAGAUUGCCUGAGAGGGGCUUUCACCUGCAUAAUUAGGGAUGCUCCAGCCCCUCUCCUAGAGUGGUAAGAGGCCAUGAUACAAUAGCACUAUGACGUGAUGGAAUCUUGGCAGCAGCCCUAGCCCUUACCUAGAGAAUGGCAAAGCUGCAGAAGAAACUGCCAAUGGAGUGCUCAACUCCAGAAGCCUGAAACCUAGGUCGGCUUGGCAAGGUGCCUUGCGCCCCAGUGUCAUGGCUGCGGUGGAGCCGCCCACUUCAAGGGGCCCUGCAGAAUCAGACAGUGAGGAUAGUGGCAGCAAUCACAAUGGGCUGAAGAUUAAAUAACUCUUGUUGACUUUUUCAAGUAUUUAUAAGCUCCCCAGAUUCCCAUGGAAGUCUACAGAAGGACAUAAUGAGAAAAGUAGGUUUAAAGGAAAUAAUGUGAAAUUUCUUCCACACUUGAGUUGGUGAGUUAAACGCCACUUAGUCUAUAUGUGGUUUAAAUGUUGUCCCAUUGCCUCAUUAUGGCCUGAUGUAAAUUCAUAUGAAACUAGGAUAUUUAAAAGCUUAUUGGGAUAGCAAAAUAGAGUUGAUGUAUUCACUGCAAAGAUUAUGGAGACCAUUUAUUGCUCUGAACAUUUCAAUAUGUUGGCUUCUUGAGAUUCCAACCCCAAGGGGACAUGAUAGUGAUGAAGAUGGAGAAAUAGAAGUUUAAACAGCACAAUUUGAAGAGGGGGCAAAAGUAACACUUUGAUGAACCUAGACCAUAUAGACCAGUAUAAGGUCAGCAAAGUCUGGAGGACCAUGUGCUCUCUCCCUAGAUUGGACCAGAAGCCCAGGCUCUACUUUUAGGAAAUGGCUCAGAGAGCGCCCACUGAACUUGUCUCUGAUGUCUUAGGCAGAUCAAAUGCUUCUCUGGUCUCUGCUUUCACAGAUGGAGGAUCAGGGGUGUGUGAGCACCACCCCGCUUGGUCUUGGAGACGGAUCAAAUCCAGACUGAUGAAGAUAUCAGUUCUGAUGAAGAAAGCAAAACAUAAGGAGGUUAAGGAACUCGUCCUUAGGCAGAUACCUGUGACUAUGGCUGAGAUUUCUGUGACACCCUUUUCCACUAUCUCAGAAUAAUUAUUAACAUAAGACCUGAGCAGCAUCUAUCGGUUAAUAAUGAAUGGCAAUGGGGACAAAAUCAUAUAUUCUUCUUCAUAUAGAGCAAGCUUAAAACAACAACAACACUGGAAUAAAACAAGGAUGCUUACUUUCGCCACUCUUACUCAACAUAGGACUGGAAGUCCUAGCCAGAUCAAUCAGGCAAGAGGAAGAAAUAAAAGGCAUACAAACUGGAAAAAAGGAAGUCCAAUUGUUCCUCUUUUCAGAUGACAUGAUCUUAAUAUACAGAAAAACCUAAAGA
Molecule: long non-coding RNA, 1642 nt
Filed under: Homo sapiens (human)
Lineage: Eukaryota; Metazoa; Chordata; Mammalia; Primates; Hominidae
Description: HSALNT0330642
Source: RNAcentral